GGCCUCCUUGUGCUUGCCACAGGCUGUGUUCCUACCCUGACUGUAUAGAAAGAAGAGGCAGAAUAAACCUACAGCCUAGGCCACUGUGCCUGGUCUGUAGGGUGAAUAGGGAGACGGGG
This is a small nucleolar RNA of Rattus norvegicus (Norway rat), 119 nucleotides long. Ensembl annotates it as small nucleolar RNA SNORA51. The record is from Ensembl. Lineage: Eukaryota; Metazoa; Chordata; Mammalia; Rodentia; Muridae.